ACCAGACUCCUACGGGAGGCAGCAGUAGGGAAUCUUCGGCAAUGGGGGGAACCCUGACCGAGCAACGCCGCGUGAGUGAAGAAGGUUUUCGGAUCGUAAAGCUCUGUUGUUAGAGAAGAACGGUAAUGGGAGUGGAAAAUCCAUUACGUGACGGUAACUAACCAGAAAGGGACGGCUAACUACGUGCCAGCAGCCGCGGUAAUACGUAGGUCCCGAGCGUUGUCCGGAUUUAUUGGGCGUAAAGCGAGCGCAGGCGGUUUGAUAAGUCUGAAGUUAAAGGCUGUGGCUUAACCAUAGUUCGCUUUGGAAACUGUCAAACUUGAGUGCAGAAGGGGAGAGUGGAAUUCCAUGUGUAGCGGUGAAAUGCAUAGAUAUAUGGAGGAACACCGGUGGCGAAAGCGGCUCUCUGGUCUGUAACUGACGCUGAGGCUCGAAAGCGUGGGGAGCAAACAGGAUUAGAUACCCGAGUA
This 470-nucleotide ribosomal RNA is filed under the name uncultured bacterium. RNAcentral describes it as "partial 16S ribosomal RNA". It matches the Rfam family "Bacterial small subunit ribosomal RNA", at positions 330 to 792 of the family's 1533-position model. The record is from RNAcentral.